GACGAACGCUGGCGGCGUGCUUAACACAUGCAAGUCGAACGGAAAGGCCCUGCUUUUGUGGGGUGCUCGAGUGGCGAACGGGUGAGUAACACGUGAGUAACCUGCCCUUGACUUUGGGAUAACUUCAGGAAACUGGGGCUAAUACCGGAUAGGAGCUCCUGCUGCAUGGUGGGGGUUGGAAAGUUUCGGCGGUUGGGGAUGGACUCGCGGCUUAUCAGCUUGUUGGUGGGGUAGUGGCUUACCAAGGCUUUGACGGGUAGCCGGCCUGAGAGGGUGACCGGCCACAUUGGGACUGAGAUACGGCCCAGACGCAUACGGGAGGCAGCAGGGGGGAAUAUUGCACAAGGGGCGGAAGCCGGAUGCAGCAACGCCGCGUGCGGGAUGACGGCCUUCGGGUUGUAAACCGAUUUCGCCUGUGACGAAGCGUGAGUGACGGGAAUGGGGAAAGAAGCACCGGCUAACUACGU
RNAcentral lists this ribosomal RNA (467 nucleotides) under uncultured bacterium. RNAcentral's name for it is "partial 16S ribosomal RNA". It matches the Rfam family "Bacterial small subunit ribosomal RNA", at positions 28 to 506 of the family's 1533-position model. The record is from RNAcentral.